Molecule: non-coding RNA, 119 nt
Organism: Triticum urartu
Lineage: Eukaryota; Viridiplantae; Streptophyta; Magnoliopsida; Poales; Poaceae
Source: Rfam
AUCAUACUCCUUCUAUCCGGAAAUACUUGUCAUCAAUGUAUCUAGACGUAUUUUAGUUUUAGAUAUAUUAUUUUUUAUCCAUUUUAAUGACAAGUAUUUUCGAAUGGAGGGAGUACUAU